CGUUCUUCAUUUUCUGCAGUGAAAUUUGGGAGGAUCAUCUUCAAUCAGUGUCAUUCCCAGGAAGAGAAGAAGCCACUUUAUAUGUUCCCUCUGAUUUCGCACAAAAAGAAAACCAUGAUGAGACCACCCCUUGGCAUAUGCCGUCCUCCCCAGAAUGCCUUCCCCACCUGAAAUGCCAUCACCUCCUCCCCAAGAGCACAAAGCAGCCCACAGGCUUAGGAGAGAGUGCCAUUCUCUGCCAACCUCAAUUCCACCUUGUUUCUCAGAGAUGUGCCACGGCUGACCCCCUCUCUCACCCCUUUGGGCUAUGCAGACAGAGUUUCUUGUCUCUGCCUCCUGUGCACACAGGGCAUCUAAGGGGGCUCUGCAAUGCCCCCACCCCGACACAGCAGCCACCAUCCUUGGCCUCACUUCUGAGACAUGCCAAGCUCACAGAUGUCCCCCACCUCUUUCAUUUCCUUCACUUUUAGGGCUUGAGGAAUUAUAAACAUGUAUUCCUGCCUGUGAUUCCAACAUGGCACUUUGCUAAACGACCUUAAGGUUCUUGAUGUGAAAUGCUGUCCAUUUUACUCAAGGCUUUAGAACUUAUCUUUUGGGACUUUGCCAGCAGGACAGCCACUUGUUUUAUCCUGUCUAAAGGUGAAGGUGAAGCACAGUAUAAAACAUCUUGUAAAGUCAGCCAUGCCUCAUCCUCUCCACUGCCACCUUUCUUCCAGGUUUAAGCCACUCUUGAGGGUCACCUGCAGUGUUGUAAUAACCUCUUAACUGGUCCGUCUGCCCAUGUCUGGUGCCCCCACCAUCCCCACGUGCCUCCAGAGUCUGUUCUCAGAGCAGCAACAGAGGGAUUCAUUAAACACAAGUAAGAGCUGCUCAGAACUGGCUUAUAGCUCCCUCUCCCCGAGAGGAAGAAAAAGCUUUCAGCAUCCUGGCCCCUCUGCUUUCCACCCCAGGCUGCCCACUCCCUGACCCCACCUCCUACCUCCUUCUCUACCCCUUGAUUCCUUCCUGCUGUCUGCCAACAUGCUAGGCAGACCUUGACUUCAGAGGAAUGCUCUUUUCCCAGAAAUCCAGCAAAUUUUGUUUUUUCAUUUCCUUCCCCCCCCUUCCAACAUCACCUUUUCACUGAGGUUUUCGGCAAACACUCCAUUUUAAAUUGCAGUUUUUACCUCCUGUACUGUGGCAUCUGUCAUUCUGGUUCCUCUUCUUUGCCUUAUUGUUUUGUUCACAGUACUUUUUAUUUUCUAAUAUUCUACAUACUUUAAUUAUUUCAUCUCUCUCCUCCUAUGGAUGGGAGUUUUAUCUGUAUCCCAGCACCUAAAAUACUUCCUGGCAUGUAGUGGGCCCUUAAUAAAUGCAUGUUGAAUAAAUGGACUCUAAUAACUGCACCCAAGACUGGGAUCUGGUCAUCUGUCCAUCCAUCCCCUCAUGGCUUUAGUCCUCACUGCUUUGCCCAUGGCCCUUGACUGGCCCCACAGGCUGCCCACAGCAGGACGAUGAUAAAGGCAUUGCCCCUUUCUUUAGGGCAGUCUAUCUAGACUUUUUCACAGUCAUCAUCUAUGCCCUAACUCACUAGUUUUUCCUUACCGUGUUGUCACUGACUUUAAGGAACUCUUAGGAGGGCAGAUGACCUUGUACACACCUGUUCCCCUUUCAAGAGCCAGCAUGGACAGGAACAAUGGUCCCAUUAUUACCACAAGUUGUCAUGAAACCUCACUGGCUUGAUCAAUCCAGACAACCUUUAUUCAGAGGGGAGAGACAAAUCGGGUCAAAUCAGUUAUUUGACAAGGUGUCAAAGACACUUCAGUCAUUUGGCUGAAACAAAAUUUUUUAUCGGCUAGGUUGGUUUUGUUUAGAAAUAUGCCUUCCAUCAAAGACUCUAUAAAGUACACAUACACCUAGUUCCUCCAAUCCCUAGAGAAUGAGUCCAAAGUGCCUCAUUUUUGUCUUAAAACUAGAAAUUGCUAUUUGUGGGUGGACAUGGGGGGAAACUAACCACUUCCCUAUGCCAGUAUUUGGGAGCUUCAGUAGUCAGAGUUAGGUUGUACCUGAGAGCAGGUGGAGAAUUAGUAUUUACAGAGUGAGAGCACUUUACAUGAAUAUUGUUAUUUAUUCAGAACAACCCAAUGGGAUAGCUUGUAUCAUCAUAUUUUACUGAUGAGACAACUGAGGCUCAGGGAAGGUCAGUAAUUCUCUGAAGUCAUUUGAUACGUGGCAUCAGAGCUGAGAUUUCAACCAGGUACUGACUGACUCCAAGCCAAGGUUUCUUUAGUGUUUCAAUCUAUAUUCCUAGUCUCACUCUUUCUCUUCCUAGGCUGGUGAGGUGGCCAGUUGAAUAAGAGCUGUGUUUAAAAUAGUCAAAGGUUCAAUAGAAAAAGCAGAUUAAAUAUCUGAUCCUUUUCCCUUGCAUGAUCCUUGGAGUAUAUCUACUCUCCAGCUAUGUACACAGGCGUUGAAGGGUCAGUCAUUCUUCAGUGAACAGUCAAGGUCAACCAUUACUUAUUGAAUUCUAUCUUAAGACUGAUCCCAUUGCUAAAGAGAGAAAUCCACCUUAAACUGUCUUAAAGAAUAAAGGAGAAGUGUUGGACUCCUAAAAAGUGCCAUGGGCAACAGCAACUUCAGGAAUGGUAGAAAACAGGUGCUAAGACUAGGGUUUCGGGAAUAUGUAUGUCUCUCUUUAUCACACAUCUCUAUUUUCUUUCAAAUCAGUAUCUUGUUACCAAGCCCUCUCUUUUAGGUGACAAGUUGCUUCAAUUGGCUACACUUAUCUUACCUGAGCAAUCACAAGAAAGAGGUAUUAUUUUUCCUAACAUGUCUAGGAAAAUGUAGGAGUUCAGUCUCACUGAUCUGGCCAAGGCCAUAUGUCCAUCCUGAACUAAGUGGUCAAGAUAACAGAACAGUCUGGUUAGCCAGACACAGGUCAUAGAAUGGAGUCAGACCCAUUUCCACACAACAUGUACUAAAAGUUGGGAAAAGGCAUUUUCAAACCAGGAUACUAUGACCCAAAUAAUGGCAAAGGAUUGCUGGACAGGUAAAAACAAUAAAUAACCACCAAACCAACUGUGUGAUAUAGAGUAGCUUGCAUAUCCUGUGUGUAUAUCUGUUUCCUCAUCUGCAAAACAUAACUGUGUAUCUCACAGCAUUUGAAAAGGAUGCAUUGAUAACAUCAAGCUUAGCAUAAUGCUUGAUGCUUUACAAGGCUUCUAAAUAGCAUUGUAUUAUCUUAUAUUAAAAUGCCCCACACCUCAAGACUCCCUUCUCAUGCCUUCUUACAUGUAACCACAUUGCAUUAUUUUCCUCAUGCCUCUGGCUCCUUAUUUAAAUGGCCUAGAAUUUGUUUACACCAUCUGAAUUUUUGAUGGCCAGUGGGUUGCAGGGGAGUUGGAACUUUUAGAAAGGCUGCUACAAAAGCUAUUGGUAGCCAUCAUGUUUCAAAGCGGUUGUGUGUGUAUGAUUUGUGUAGACACAGUAUGAGACAGAAGUACACAUCUCAUUAUCCUAUUAAUCCUCUAACAUGUUGCUACUUGGCCAUAAUCUUCUUUGCCCAAGGAUGGGAAGGGAGAGGGAAAAAACAACAGUACCACACAAAACAGAUUGUGCUUUGAUACCCAUGAGUGAUCUGGGGGGAGAAUCACUUCAUCCACAGAAAAUACUUACUCCAUAAAAUUUGGCCCCAGUAGCAAUUAACUGGUUGGGGAAUAUCUUUGGGGGAAAGCCAUGUUAAAUAAACGGUGGAGAUAAGCUUCUGGGGACAGCUCUUCCUUCUCUUACUUCAAAUCUGUUCUGUAAAUAUUUCAGGAUAAGUGCUGAGAGCUGCCUUUGUCUCCCCAGUGGCAGAUAUCAUUGUUUUAGAAAACACAAUUUAUAAGAAAGUUUUUUUUGGAAUACUUUUUAAAAAAAGAAAAGAAAAAAACUUUCCACUGAUGGAACAUGAAAGUGGGCAAGGAGAGAAAAGAACUCAAGGGAGCAGAUGACCAUAACAAAGACAAUGCUCAAGCUAGUCUUCUCAUUUUUGACACAUUCUUUGUCUGAACAUAUUUUUUUCCAUUUCAUGAGAAGGUGAGUGACAAUCAGCACUUACUCAUGAAGGCAGCAUUUGUUCUAGAGUUUAGAGAUGUAUCUAUGAACCAACGGACAAGGUCACUGCUCUUAAGAGCCUGUGUUCUAGUCAGGGAGACAGAAAAUCAACAAGUAAUUAAGCAAGAAAAAUCUCAUAGAAUAAAUAUGAGCCAAAAGUUAAACUAGGUUUACAUGGAAGAGCAUGUAGUUGGCAAUGCUGGGCCAGCACGUUGCAGCAGGUGAGCUGAUACCCUGCUAGAUCCGACUGACAAGUGCACACAUCCUCCAGCUGAUGGAGGGAAAUUCUGUGGCCAGUGGCUCAAACCUGCAACCUGUUCAGAAGAAUCAUCCGUAGCUGGUAGGAGAUGACUUUGAGGCAAUGACUGAUUGCCAAUGACUGAUUGAUAGAGUGGAACAAAAGCCUGGCUCCUUCCUUCAAGGCAGGCCACCUAUGGGGAGUGAUUUAUGCUCUAGUUCCUCCUUGGCCUCACUGCCACAACUCAUAGAUCAGGCCAAGCUAGACAUUACCUAAGAUCACAUCUCAGACCAUGUCCUUUUUCUCUUUUUCUCUUCCCCUCUUUGCUGCCCUCAACCCUUUAUAGGUUUUUCCUAAGUAUAUACUUUAAAUAAAUCAUGUGCUCCUAAAACUUUCUCUUAUGCUCUAUUUCUAGGAAACCCAACCAAGACAGUGGUCAAGGAAGGUCUCUUCUGAGUUAUCAUAUUUAAGCUGAGAAAUGAGUCACAAGAAGUAGCCAGGAAUGCAAACACCUGGUGGAACAAGCUUGACGUGCUUUAAAAAUACCAAGAGAAAAUCUUGGGUGGAGGGCACAGGAAGAGGGAGAGUGGAAAAGAGGAGGUCGGAGAGUCCUAAGAGCUAAGCCCAGAUUUUACAGGAUAAGGAUCCUGAUUUUACUCCAAAUACAAUGGAAAGCUAUUAGAAAGUUUUAAGCAGUUGUGUGUUCUGACUUAUGUUUAAAAAAAUUCCUCUGGUAAGGAGAUAAUCCUGGGGUCUGAAUGGAAGCAGGAAGACCAGAUAGGAGACUGCAAAUAAUGAUGCUGGCUAAACUAGCCUAAGCAGCUUAUCUAUACUGUCUUAAGUUCUACUCACAAUUCCAUAAGGUAGGUAUUAUUUCAUCCAUUUUAUUUUUCAUUUUUAUUUUGUUUUAUGGAUGAACUGGCAGCAUAUGGAAGUUCCAGGCCAGGAACUGAAUCUGAGCCAUGGCUUUGACCUACCCUAUAGCUGCAGCAAUGCUAGAUUAUUAACCCAUUGUGCAAGGCCAGGGAUACAAACUACACCUUCACAGUGACCCAAGCCGUGGCAGUCAGAUUCUUGACCCACUGUGCCACAAAGGGAACUCCUCUGCCCAUUUUAGAGAUAAGGAAACUGAUACAGAUUGUUUAUAUAGCUACUGUGAAAUCACCCAGCUAUUAAAUAGUAUAUCUGCUAUUUAAACCAGACUACCUGGUUCUAAAACCUGUUUUUCUUCCUAUGCUAUCCCCAUCAUCUGACUUCUUGGUAUAUAGAUUUCUCCGAAAAUACCCCAGUCACUCUGGCUUGCCAUGCCAGGGCUAUCAGAGAUGCCUCCCUGUCUCACUGGGGAGAGGAGUUCCUGCUGAAGCAUCAGUCUGUUGGCCCCCUGAAAGACUAGUUGCCAUUAUUCAACACAUCUGUCUGUAAUUAUGAGGUGCCCUUACACUUCCCCUUUUUGUCAACAUAAUUACUCUCAAUUAUAUGAACACUCUGCCCUGACCUCCCAGGGAUCUACACCCCUGCCAACCACAGUGGUUGAUUUCCAAAGCCCCUGCCAUUCCAGGCUAAACAUAUGGGCCCUCUUCUCAGCUCUAAGCACAAGAGGGUUCAGGUCCAAGUCCAGUCAGAAUGGUAGCUACUUCUUGCUUUGUCUGUAUCACUAUGGCAAGGUAAGAGAUGGUUAAAUUACUUAAGGCCAUAUUUGGCGUUUGCAAUGACUUUGUCAACCAGAGAGAAAUUUUUAAUGGGCAUUUAAUUUGAAAGUGGUUCUCUUGCCACGAAAAUCCACGGAAAUCCAGAAUAUCUUCCUCCUAACAUGAUGCAGAAAGAAAAAGAGAAGCCAAAUCUGUUCCCAACAAUCAGUUUAGAGUUAAGGCAGAGAUGAUCUCCCAUAAUUCAAGAAGUACACAGUUCUGAAGAAUAGCAAAAUAGGAAGAGCAGCAGCUAGUGCUCUUUAUACACUUGAUGAAGAUUCUAGAUUAAAGCCCAAAAUUUAAGAAAGGGCAGGUUUUCUGUAGUUUGACACCAUGAAGUAAAUAUGAGUCCAAAGUGCACUACGAUAUG
This 6370-nucleotide long non-coding RNA is filed under the name Sus scrofa (pig). RNAcentral describes it as "lncRNA (ENSSSCG00000053637.1)". Lineage: Eukaryota; Metazoa; Chordata; Mammalia; Artiodactyla; Suidae. The record is from RNAcentral.